GGGACUUGCUCCGGAUGUUAGCGGCGGACGGGUGAGUAACACGUGGGUAACCUGCCUGUAAGACUGGGAUAACUCCGGGAAACCGGAGCUAAUACCGGAUAGUUCCUUGAACCGCAUGGUUCAAGGAUGAAAGACGGUUUCGGCUGUCACUUACAGAUGGACCCGCGGCGCAUUAGCUAGUUGGUGAGGUAACGGCUCACCAAGGCGACGAUGCGUAGCCGACCUGAGAGGGUGAUCGGCCACACUGGGACUGAGACACGGCCCAGACUCCUACGGGAGGCAGCAGUAGGGAAUCUUCCGCAAUGGACGAAAGUCUGACGGAGCAACGCCGCGUGAGUGAUGAAGGUUUUCGGAUCGUAAAGCUCUGUUGUUAGGGAAGAACAAGUGCAAGAGUAACUGCUUGCACCUUGACGGUACCUAACCAGAAAGCCACGGCUAACUACGUGCCAGCAGCCGCGGUAAUACGUAGGUGGCAAGCGUUGUCCGGAAUUAUUGGGCGUAAAGGGCUCGCAGGCGGUUUCUUAAGUCUGAUGUGAAAGCCCCCGGCUCAACCGGGGAGGGUCAUUGGAAACUGGGAAACUUGAGUGCAGAAGAGGAGAGUGGAAUUCCACGUGUAGCGGUGAAAUGCGUAGAGAUGUGGAGGAACACCAGUGGCGAAGGCGACUCUCUGGUCUGUAACUGACGCUGAGGAGCGAAAGCGUGGGGAGCGAACAGGAUUAGAUACCCUGGUAGUCCACGCCGUAAACGAUGAGUGCUAAGUGUUAGGGGGUUUCCGCCCCUUAGUGCUGCAGCUAACGCAUUAAGCACUCCGCCUGGGGAGUACGGUCGCAAGACUGAAACUCAAAGGAAUUGACGGGGGCCCGCACAAGCGGUGGAGCAUGUGGUUUAAUUCGAAGCAACGCGAAGAACCUUACCAGGUCUUGACAUCCUCUGACAACCCUAGAGAUAGGGCUUUCCCUUCGGGGACAGAGUGACAGGUGGUGCAUGGUUGUCGUCAGCUCGUGUCGUGAGAUGUUGGGUUAAGUCCCGCAACGAGCGCAACCCUUGAUCUUAGUUGCCAGCAUUCAGUGGGCACUCUAAGGUGACUGCCGGUGACAACCGAGAGGUGGGAUGACGUCAAAUCAUCAUGCCCUUAUGACUGGGCUACCACCGUGCCUACCAUUGCACMGAAACAAAGGCCUGUUGCGCGAGGAC
RNAcentral lists this ribosomal RNA (1194 nucleotides) under Bacillus aerophilus. Its description in RNAcentral is "bacterial SSU rRNA". It matches the Rfam family "Bacterial small subunit ribosomal RNA", at positions 75 to 1261 of the family's 1533-position model. The record is from RNAcentral. Lineage: Bacteria; Bacillati; Bacillota; Bacilli; Caryophanales; Bacillaceae.